CUACGGGGGGCUGCAGUGGGGAAUAUUGCACAAUGGGCGCAAGCCUGAUGCAGCCAUGCCGCGUGUAUGAAGAAGGCCUUCGGGUUGUAAAGUACUUUCAGCGGGGAGGAAGGGAGUAAAGUUAAUACCUUUGCUCAUUGACGUUACCCGCAGAAGAAGCACCGGCUAACUCCGUGCCAGCAGCCGCGGUAAUACGGAGGGUGCAAGCGUUAAUCGGAAUGACUGGGCGUAAAGCGCACGCAGGCGGUUGUUAAGUCAGAUGUGAAAUCCCCGGGCUCAACCUGGGAACUGCAUCUGAUACUGGCAAGCUUGAGUCUCGUAGAGGGGGGUAGAAUUCCAGGUGUAGCGGUGAAAUGCGUAGAGAUCUGGAGGAAUACCGGUGGCGAGGGCGGCCCCCUGGACGAAGACUGACGCUCAGGUGCGAAAGCGUGGGGAGCAAACAGGAUUAGAUACCCCUGUAGUC
RNAcentral lists this ribosomal RNA (463 nucleotides) under uncultured bacterium. Its description in RNAcentral is "partial 16S ribosomal RNA". It matches the Rfam family "Bacterial small subunit ribosomal RNA", at positions 339 to 795 of the family's 1533-position model. The record is from RNAcentral.